This 253-nucleotide ribosomal RNA is filed under the name uncultured bacterium. Its description in RNAcentral is "partial 16S ribosomal RNA". It matches the Rfam family "Bacterial small subunit ribosomal RNA", at positions 524 to 776 of the family's 1533-position model. The record is from RNAcentral.
UACAGAGGGUGCAAACGUUGUUCGGAAUCACUGGGCCUAAAGCGUGCGCAGGCGGUUCGCAAAGUCUGAUGUGAAAGCCCCGGGCUCAACCUGGGAACUGCAUUGGAAACUAACGGGCUCGAGUGUGGCAGAGGGGGGUGGAAUUCCACGUGUAGCAGUGAAAUGCGUAGAGAUGUGGAGGAACACCGAUGGCGAAGGCAGCCCCCUGGGCUAACACUGACGCUCAGGCACGAAAGCGUGGGGAGCAAACAGG